Molecule: long non-coding RNA, 686 nt
Organism: Pipistrellus kuhlii (Kuhl's pipistrelle)
Lineage: Eukaryota; Metazoa; Chordata; Mammalia; Chiroptera; Vespertilionidae
Exons: 2
Source: RefSeq, a predicted model, not a curated record
AGGUCCUCGGGUUAAUCAGAGCCACUCUCACACCUGAUACUGGGCUAAACUCUCCCCUAGAAACCUGCAGAGGAAGAUCAGGCAGCCAUCCAAGCUGCAGCCAGAUUUGCUGGAAAGAUGAAAGCAAGGGGAGGUGUGUUUAAAAAAAAAAAAAAAAAAAAAAAAAAAAAAAAACCUUUAGGAUCGGGAGAUUGGGGAGAUGAUAUGUGAACACAAUUUGUAGCAAGGCCUUACAGGACCAAGCAGGCACCGGUCGUGGCUCAAAGCUUCUAUCUCUGAUGCUCCCAAACCUGAGGAGAGCCCACCCACUUGGCUGCACGCACCCUGGGUCUGCAUGCCCUUUUUUGAGUGACAGGCCUGGGUUCAUCUGCAUUAAGCACAUGUGGUCAGGACGCAGCCCCAUGCCCAAUGCCCUCGAUGCCAGUAGGGAGGACUGCACACCGGGCCAGGAUCAGGCAACCUUGCAAGUGGAGCUGGCCCAAAGGAAAUUCAUUUGUAAAGCGACUGGACUCGGGUCAUUGCCGUAGUAGCUGAGAAAGAGCUGAGCAACUGUCACAUACAAAUGAAAACUUUCCGGAUCACUGAAAGUGAGCCCUCCACGUGCCCAAAACUGUUUUUCUUUUCAUGGCUAUUGGUGGAAAUGUUUCAAAUUAAUGUUAUUAAACACUGUCUUGCUUUCUUAAACA